This 443-nucleotide ribosomal RNA is filed under the name uncultured bacterium. RNAcentral's name for it is "partial 16S ribosomal RNA". It matches the Rfam family "Bacterial small subunit ribosomal RNA", at positions 338 to 795 of the family's 1533-position model. The record is from RNAcentral.
CCUACGGGAGGCAGCAGUGGGGAAUAUUGCACAAUGGGCGAAAGCCUGAUGCAGCAAAGCAGCGUGAAGGAAGAAGGGUUUCGGCGUGUAAACUUCUAUUAACAGGGACGAAAGAAAUGACGGGACCUGAAUAUGAAGCCUCGGCUAACUACGAGCCAGCAGCCGCGGUAAUACGUAGGGGGCAAGCGUUAUCCGGAAGUACUGGGUGUAAAGGGUGAGUAGGUGGCAUGGUAAGCCAGAUGUGAAAGCUUUGGGCUUAACCCGAGGAUUGCAUUUGGAACUAUCAAGCUAGAGUACAGGAGAGGAAAGCGGAAUUCCUAGUGUAGCGGUGAAAUGCGUAGAUAUUAGGAAGAACACCAGUGGCGAAGGCGGCUUUCUGGACUGAAACUGACGCUGAGGCACGAAAGCGUGGGUAGCGAACAGGAUUAGAUACCCCUGUAGUC